Molecule: transfer RNA, 70 nt
Filed under: Cladophialophora immunda
Lineage: Eukaryota; Fungi; Ascomycota; Eurotiomycetes; Chaetothyriales; Herpotrichiellaceae
Description: tRNA-Asp (GTC) (tRNA-Asp-GTC-2-1)
Source: RNAcentral
UGGUAGUUCAGUGGUAGAAUACCGGCUUGUCACGCCGGUGGCCGAGGUUGUAAGUUGCUCUGUUGCAAAA